This 676-nucleotide long non-coding RNA is filed under the name Salvia miltiorrhiza (redroot sage). Its description in RNAcentral is "long non-coding RNA (SMIL_LNC012908)". Lineage: Eukaryota; Viridiplantae; Streptophyta; Magnoliopsida; Lamiales; Lamiaceae. The record is from RNAcentral.
CCAAGUAUAAUGUCCUAAUUGGUAAAUAAAAUACCCUAAUCUAGCAAAGUAAUAUGGAACGACAAAGACCAAAGGUCAUAUUCCGACAGUGAGAGCGGAGAGGGAUUUCAACAUAGAAGAGCACGACGAUUGGAGAGCACGACUGAGAAACUUAAGUUGGAGAGCACGACUAAAUUGAGCGUGGUGAUAGGUAGGUUAUUUCAAUCGGAGGUAUUUGAAUAAUAAUUUUGUUCGUGUGAUUGCGUUCUUCUUUCAAUAAUCGAUUGGGUUUUUGAAAGUGUAUUUAUUUUAUUUUAUUUUUUUUUAUUUUGCAGUUGCAAUUUCACCCUCUUUAUACAUCACGAUGGAACAUUUAAGGAAGCACAAGGCUUUGAUGAUAUGGGUAAAAAUGUAGAAUUUUUUUACCUUGGUAUAGACAAGUUUGAGUUUUUUGAUUUGAAGGAGUUAGUUGAGGGUUUAGGUUACUCAGGAUGGGGUAAUUUACUAUAUGUGGAGCCUAAAUCAUAUGUCUUUAAGGUGAUCAAAAUCGAUAAAGAGGUGAUGGAGGUGUUGGGCUUCCUAAGUAGUUCUAACAAAUCUUUAAACGUUUUUGUGAAGGGUGGGAUUAGGUCAGAUGUUGGGGCAAAUGAUGGGCAGAUGAUGGGUUAGAGUCUGGGGCAGGUGAUGGGGAAUAUCA